GACCAUGACUUUUGGUGCAGAGAUACACUUAUUUAUGUCAGAGUAGAAUUUCUGGGUCAUAGUGCAGGCGUAUUUAUAGCUUUAAGAGAUAUUGCCAAACAGUUUUUCAAAGUGGUAAUCUUAGUCUGUUUGUGCUGCCAUAACAAAAUGCCUGAGACUGAGUAAUUUAUAAACAACAGGGAUUUAUUUUCUCACAGUUCUAGAAACUGGAAGUCCAAGAUCAAGGCAGCAGCAUUUGGUGUCUGGAGAGGGCCCACUUGCUGUAUCCCUACAUGGUGGUAGGUGGAAGGACAAAAAGGGGCUGAACUCUGUAUGAAGCCUCUUUUAUAAAGGCCUUAAUCCCAUUCUAGACGGUGGAGCCCUCAUAAUUUGACAACCUCCUAAAGUCUCUGCCUCUUAAUACUAUUGUAUUGGAGAUUAAGUUCAACAUGAAUUUUGAAGGGGACACAAAUAUUCAAACCACAGCAAUGACUGAAUUAAUUUACGCUUCCACAAACAAUGUGAGUUUCAAUUGUUCCACAUUCUCACCAAGGUUUGGUGUUAUCAGUUAAAAAAAUUGUAGUCAGGCCGGGUGCAGUGGCUCACGCCUGCUUAUUGGUUUGUGGGAAUUCUUUAUGUAAUUCAGAUAUGAGUUCUUUGUUAGAUACAUGAAUUUUGACUCUUUUCUCCAAGUCUGUGGCUUGGUGAAGCCUUUUAUUUAUUUUUAAAUUAAAUUAAUUUUAAACUUUUUAAAGAAAUGAGAUCUUAUUCUGUUGCCCAGGCUGGAGUGCAGUGGCACAAUCAUAGCUCACUGCAGACUCAAACUCCUGGGCUCAAGUGAUCCUCCUGCCUCAGCCUCCUGAGUAGCUGGGAUUACAGGCAUGUGCCACCAUGCCUGGCCCAAAGUGCUGGUAUUACAGGCAUGAACCACCACGUCAGGCCCUGUUCACUUUUAUAAUCUGUGCUUAGAACAGUACUGGUCAUAUAGUAGGUACUUAAAAAUAUUAUUUGUUUGUUUGUUUGUUUGUUUGUUUGUUUAUUUUGAGACAGAGUUUUGCUCUUGUUGCCCAGGCUGGAGUGCAGUGG
This 1065-nucleotide long non-coding RNA is filed under the name Homo sapiens (human). Its description in RNAcentral is "non-protein coding lnc-ACOT11-3:1". Lineage: Eukaryota; Metazoa; Chordata; Mammalia; Primates; Hominidae. The record is from RNAcentral.